RNAcentral lists this ribosomal RNA (1301 nucleotides) under Ascomycota sp. L361. RNAcentral's name for it is "eukaryotic LSU rRNA". The stretch from base 666 to 1301 matches the Rfam family "Eukaryotic large subunit ribosomal RNA", at positions 1 to 589 of the family's 3401-position model. The record is from RNAcentral. Lineage: Eukaryota; Fungi; Ascomycota.
UUUUUUUUAAAUAAAAUUUAAAAGGUUCGUUGGUGACCUGCGGAGGAUCAUUAGCACGUAAAGUAAAACUGCUAAGGGGACCCCCAACGCUCCCUUCCUUGUACCUGCUCUUACCGGAGCUGUUUGUGGGAAGAUUCAAACACAAACACGGUCCCCGACGAGCCCUGCCGGAGAGGCUCCGCAGCGGCGAGUCCUUGAGAGGGACAGAAAGCAAACCCAUCCUUGUGAGAACCGAAUACCACCCAGGUGGUGCGAUACGCCAGCUGGGCGCAUACUUGUAAAAACCCUAGUGUAUGGGGGAGUACCCGUUAAAAGCCAACAGUUAAAACUUUCAACAAUGGAUUCUCUUGGUUCUGGCAUCGAUGAAGAACGCAGCGAAAUGCGAUAAGUAGUGUGAAUUGCAAGAAAUUCAGUGAAUCAUCGAAUCUUUGAACGCACAUUGCGCCCUAUGGUAUUCCUUAGGGCAUGCCUGUUCGAGCGUCAUCUAGACCGUCAAGCGCAGCUUGGUGUUGGGCGUCUGUGGCCCCGCUCCCCUCAGGAGAGCCGGCUACUCGCCUGGAAACGAUUGGCAGCCCACGCGUAGGCUAAGAUUCGCAGCAGAUUAAGCGUAUCUACCCCUCUCGUAGGCACCCAUAAGCUAGGGCCCUCGGGUCCGCCCACCAGUUUGACCUCGGAUCAGGUAGGGAUACCCGCUGAACUUAAGCAUAUCAAUAAGCGGAGGAAAAGAAACCAACAGGGAUUGCCUCAGUAACGGCGAGUGAAGCGGCAACAGCUCAAAAUUUGAAAUCUGGUGCCUUCGGGCGUCCGAGUUGUAAUUUUGCAGAGGGUGCUUUGGUGGGUGGCGCCGGUCUAAGUUUCCUUGGAAACAGGGACGUCACAGAGGGUGAAGAACCCCGUUCGUUGGCCGCCGCCCCCUACCGUGUAAAAGCCCCUUUCGACGAGUCGAGUUGUUUGGGAAUGCAGCUCUUAAAUGGGAGGUAAAUUCCUUCUAAAGCUAAAUACUGGCCCAGAGACCGAUUAGCGCACAAGUAGAGUGAUCGAAAGAUGAAAAGCACUUUGGAAAGAGAGUCAAAAAGCACGUGAAAUUGUUGAAAGGGAAGCGCUUGCAGCCAGACUCGCCCCCCGGCGUUACGCGCCAGCGGGUGGGCCAGCAUCAGUCGUGGUGGCCCGAUAAAGGCCUCGGGAAUGUAGCUACCCCCCUGGGGAAGUGUUAUAGCUCGUGGCGCCAUGGGGCCAGCUCGCGACCUGAGGAUCCGCGCAUUGCUGAUGUUGCAAGGUCUUUCCCUCUUUAAAAGGAAAAA